AUAAGUAGUUGGUUAAAAGUCUGUAGACAGAAAUAACGUCGCUGUCCCUUUAAGAAACCAGCGUUGCAGGUGCAGUGUCUGGGUGACGCUGCAGUACGCAGACCCGAAGGAGAGAGCAGAGGAGGAAUCGGAAAAAAAAGACCGGUGAAUAAUUAACAGAGAAAAGUUUAUAUUUUAGUAAACAAAACAUAAUUUACCUGGUCGGGAACUGACGAGGAUUUUAUGAGAACUAAGCCAUAUCGAUUUUGGUCAGGUUUUUUGUUCGGUUGGAAGCUUGGUCGGAGCGAGGAUUAAUCUGCCAUGUGCGGCGUGCACAUUCACAGAUGGGAUUCAAGAUGGCGAGCCAGACCUAGACCUUCAAUUCAUCUUCUCCAUUGAGGGAGGGACUUUCCCGCGUGUGGUAAUCCCCUGCCGGAGUGGUAGGGAUAUCAGAAACUAGUUUGAACUGAACUAAAAAAAAA
Cyprinodon tularosa is the source of this 461-nucleotide long non-coding RNA. RefSeq lists it as uncharacterized. The transcript is spliced from 2 exons. The record is from RefSeq and is a predicted model, not a curated record. NCBI's taxonomy places the organism in Eukaryota, Metazoa, Chordata, Actinopteri, Cyprinodontiformes, Cyprinodontidae.